AUGAUGGUGGCUGUAGCACGCCCUUGCUUAUAUAUACCACCUCUUUCCUGCCUCAUUAAUCACCCCACCUUGUCAUUUGAACCUAUCCUGGUACGAGCCAAGCAUUCUUUCUUGUCUUGGAUACUUGCAUACUUCUAUUGUCUGCUUUGCAGUAAACAUGUUAUUGAGAAUUACUUUAAGAUUCGAUAUGUUCUAUAUGAUGGGGUUAAUAUUGUUACAUACGUAGUUCUUUUGGCUUUCUUGUUUUCCAGAGUUUUAGCCAAAGCUCCUGUAAUUGUUGUAUUAUGUAUGCUAGUCAUCUCUGAAGCCUUGUAA
This 315-nucleotide ribosomal RNA is filed under the name Triticum aestivum (bread wheat). RNAcentral describes it as "partial small subunit ribosomal RNA". The record is from RNAcentral. Lineage: Eukaryota; Viridiplantae; Streptophyta; Magnoliopsida; Poales; Poaceae.